CAAAGAGCAAAUGGCGGACUUCAUAAAAAUUAGAGGAGAAAACGAUCACCUCUUCACUGGGGUAAAAAAUUCAGCCACUGUGGGAUGGAGGACAAUUCUGGAGAAGAUGGGCCUGCAGCGGAAAGUCACCCACUUGCAGGCCAAAAAGAAAUGGACAACUUAAAAAAAAGAUACAAAGAUUGCAAGUAUCCAGGGUCAGGGAAGUCAGUGGGAAGUGUUAACCAUGAAGUUCCUUCUUUCAUUUUCAAAUCACUUCCAGAAAAUAAAGGAAGUGAACAUUUAUCUUUUCAUUUUUUGCAUCUCAUUUCACAU
Molecule: long non-coding RNA, 312 nt
Organism: Oreochromis niloticus (Nile tilapia)
Lineage: Eukaryota; Metazoa; Chordata; Actinopteri; Cichliformes; Cichlidae
Exons: 3
Source: RefSeq, a predicted model, not a curated record